Molecule: ribosomal RNA, 253 nt
Filed under: uncultured archaeon
Lineage: Archaea
Description: partial 16S ribosomal RNA
Rfam family: Archaeal small subunit ribosomal RNA
Source: RNAcentral
UCCCAGCGGUCCAAGUCGCAGCCACAAUUAUUGGGUCUAAAACAUCCGUAGCUUGCUUGGUAAGUCUCUUGUGAAAUCUGGCCUCUUAAGGGUCGGGCGUGCAAGAGAUACUACUGAGCUUGAGACCGGGAGACGUAAGGAGUACGUAUAGUGUAGCGGUAAAAUGCGUUGAUCCUAUAUGGACUAACAAUAGCGAAGGCACCUUACGAGAACGGAUCUGACAGUGAGGGAUGAAGGCUAGGGGCGCAAAGUG